UGGUAGUGGCAGCUGGAUCCUGGUUCAAAGUAAAAGAAGUUAACAACAUUUUAGGUGGUAUUUCACAUAUAUUUUGAAAGAGGCACAUGACUCUCAUUUGCAGCCUAACAUUGGCCUUCAGUUGCCAAUGAAUAUGUCUUUCUUCCUCAUUAGUACAUUUGUUAUACCUUUAACUUUUGAAAAUAUUUGAGGAACAUCCAAGGCAUUAAAUUGGAUCAAAUGAACGUUGCACAUUUUUUG
RNAcentral lists this ribosomal RNA (240 nucleotides) under uncultured eukaryote. Its description in RNAcentral is "partial 18S ribosomal RNA". The record is from RNAcentral.